CAGUAGCCACGGGAAUACAGAGGAUGCAAGCGUUAUCCGGAAUGAUUGGGCGUAAAGCGCGCGUAGGCGGCUUCUUAAGUCUGAGGUGAAAGGUUCAACGCUUAACGUGAACAGUGCCUUGGAUACUGGGGAGCUUGAGUAUGGGAGAGGGCAGUGGAAUGGCUGGUGUAGCGGUGAAAUGCGUAGAUAUCAGUCGGAACACCCAUGGCGAAGGCAGCUGCCUGGCCUAAUACUGACGCUGAGGUGCGAAAGCGUGGGGAGCGAACGGGAUUAGAUACCCGUGUAGUCCCUGUCUCUUAUA
Molecule: ribosomal RNA, 301 nt
Filed under: uncultured bacterium
Lineage: Bacteria
Description: partial 16S ribosomal RNA
Rfam family: Bacterial small subunit ribosomal RNA
Source: RNAcentral